GCUUACGGCCAUACCACCCUGAACACGCCCGAUCUCGUCCGAUCUCGGAAGCUAAGCAGGGUCGGGCCUGGUUAGUACUUGGGAGACCGCCUGGGAAUACCAGGUGCUGUAAGCU
This 115-nucleotide ribosomal RNA is filed under the name Labrus bergylta (ballan wrasse). Lineage: Eukaryota; Metazoa; Chordata; Actinopteri; Labriformes; Labridae. The record is from RNAcentral.